AUUGAACGCUGGCGGCAUGCUUUACACAUGCAAGUCGAACGGCAACGCGGAGAAGCUUGCUUCUCUGUCGGCGAGUGGCGAACGGGUGAGUAUAGCAUCGGAACGUGCCAAGUAGUGGGGGAUAACCAAACGAAAGUUUGGCUAAUACCGCGUAAGCUCCAAGGAGGAAAGUAGGGGACCUAAAUAAGGCCUUACGCUAUUUGAUCGGCCGAUGUCGGAUUAGCUAGUUGGUGGGGUAAUGGCUCACCAAGGCAAUGAUCCGUAGCGGGUCUGAGAGGACGAUCCGCCACACUGGGACUGAGACACGGCCCAGACUCCUACGGGAGGCAGCAGUGGGGAAUUUUGGACAAUGGGGGAAACCCUGAUCCAGCCAUGCCGCGUGUAUGAAGAAGGCCUUAGGGUUGUAAAGUACUUUUGUUAGGGAAGAAAAGCUAGUUUUUAAUAAAAAGUAGUGAUGACGGUACCUAAAGAAUAAGCACCGGCUAACUACGUG
RNAcentral lists this ribosomal RNA (493 nucleotides) under uncultured bacterium. RNAcentral's name for it is "partial 16S ribosomal RNA". It matches the Rfam family "Bacterial small subunit ribosomal RNA", at positions 30 to 507 of the family's 1533-position model. The record is from RNAcentral.